RNAcentral lists this transfer RNA (83 nucleotides) under Pirellulaceae bacterium. RNAcentral's name for it is "tRNA-Leu". It matches the Rfam family "tRNA". Rfam says of the family: Transfer RNA (tRNA) molecules are approximately 80 nucleotides in length. Their secondary structure includes four short double-helical elements and three loops (D, anti-codon, and T loops). The record is from RNAcentral. Lineage: Bacteria; Pseudomonadati; Planctomycetota; Planctomycetia; Pirellulales; Pirellulaceae.
ACGAGAGUGGCGGAAUUGGCAGACGCGCUAGAUUUAGGAUCUAGUCCCGAAAGGACAUGGGGGUUCGAGUCCCCCCUCUCGUA